ACAGAAGAUUUGAAUACAAGCUUGACGCACGAGCGAGUACAAAUCAGCGUGAACAGUACGAGGGUACUGUUCAUCUAUUUAUAGGCAUAGAACACAGCCUGUGUACAAUUACAUUCAUGUCCUUCAUAUUUAGUAUUAACUUAAGAACAAUUUACCGGACUAAAUAGACUUUUCCUCCUUAAGUCGGUUCCUUUUUCUGCUAUUGAGCCGAAGCUUCCUUGCGCACAGCUUCAACACUGGUUCAACCUUCGUUCUGACCCUGCCUUCCAUAUUGUGUACAACUUUAUCUCAUGUCCGAAGGUUCCUGCACAUAUAUUAUGCUUUGGGAAACAUUGUUAGUCAUGUUUUUGAGGACCUUCGAAAGACGAAGGCCCCCAACAUUGUGUAAUAAUAUUCUAUGCGCCGCUACGAGAUCGUAGGUUCGAGAAGUAUUAAAAUUGGAGUUAUAGUUUAAAAGGUAUAGUUUUCGGAAGACCCACGUGAUUAAGUAAUUAAAACCAGGUCUUGUGUUGAUUUUAUAAACUAUGUGAGAAAAUGGCUUAAAUAAAUAAUUAACUCAAAUCUAAUCUAAAUUAUAUAUUGAUUAGAGAUUUUAUCCGCGAAGGGGUAUGUUGCUUAUAAUCCUAGCCACUGGUUUAAAUCCAACGGCCAACGCUCUUCUCUCUUAUCUCGGCCAUGAGCACAACGACGCCACCCAACUACGCCCGGUGGAGGGUGGCCGGAGCCAUCCCGACACGGUGCCCGAUGCCCCGAUUCCUAUUAUAACUGACUAUGCGCACAGAGGAAUCGGUGAACUCGAAGGUUGAUAACUUACUGGCAAUAGC
Molecule: long non-coding RNA, 824 nt
Filed under: Zea mays
Lineage: Eukaryota; Viridiplantae; Streptophyta; Magnoliopsida; Poales; Poaceae
Description: long non-coding RNA (ZMAY_LNC002508)
Source: RNAcentral